Molecule: non-coding RNA, 371 nt
Filed under: Oreochromis niloticus (Nile tilapia)
Lineage: Eukaryota; Metazoa; Chordata; Actinopteri; Cichliformes; Cichlidae
Description: Eukaryotic large subunit ribosomal RNA
Rfam family: Eukaryotic large subunit ribosomal RNA
Source: Rfam by way of RNAcentral
AUUCCCUUCGGGAUCCCUGGUGCCACGUAUCUCUGUUUUACUGGGCAAAGCAAAUGACUAGAGGUCUUUGAGCCUCGAUAAACUCAAUCUAUUCUCCAACUUUAAAUGCAUAAGAAGCACAGCUCGGUGGCUUGUGGCCGGGUGUGGUAUAUGAGCAGCACAGUGGGCCGCUUUUUGUAAGAAGAACUGGAGGGCAGGAUUAACUAGCCCCAGGAAAAGUGUGGAUACAGACAGCGGGACGGUGACCAUGGAAGCUGGAACCAGCUAAUGAGUGCGUAACAACUCACCAGCCAAGUCAAUUAGCUGGCCAUCACACUGACUUUCUGCCAGGGAGCCAGCAGGUUAAAACCGGUUUUAUAUCUCAUCUGAGU